CCAGGUUUGCACAGAAGUGUAAGAGAAAUUGACAGUUUUGGCUGAAAGCAAGAUUUAGUUACUUUUAAAUUCAUGUUUUUUAUCCCAGAAGCAAAUGAAUUGGCCUGUCUUUUUAAAAAAACACUUCUGAAUGCGUCAGCAUGAAUAUAUGUGGACUGGCUUCGCCACUGGAGGUCGAGUCAGUGAGAUAUGUGAACCUCAGAAUGGCUGUCAGCCAUCAGAUACUUUUAAAGAGCUUCAGGCUUUAAAGCUUUACAUGCCAAACAGCAGCGCAGAGCCUAAUUUGGUGAAAGGGUCUCUGUGUGGUCUAAUAUCUCCAAAACGAGGGUUCUUGGUUAUUUUCAGGACACUACUCAACUGUUCAUGACAAGAGACGCAGAACUCAGAAUAAGGGGAAAAUGAGAGACCUUUCAUUAUACACCUUUAAUGGAGGUGGAUCAUGGGUUCACCUUGAUGAAACGACCAGCUUAGACCAACAUGAAAUGCCAGGUUUAUGCUGUUUCUAAAGCUGGUUGACAAACGUGGCUGAAGCAAACAACAACCUCAAGCUGAAGUUCACCUGAACAAGAUAUAAAGGAACAGCAGCAAAGCAAUAUGGGUUCACAAUGAUGAGUUCCAAUUUAAGGGAAAGGAAAAAUAAUUGUGUCCUAACUAGGAAUACUGCAAUAAAGAUUUUAUUUAUAAUGUG
Long non-coding RNA from Carassius carassius (crucian carp), 688 nucleotides. RefSeq lists it as uncharacterized. Lineage: Eukaryota; Metazoa; Chordata; Actinopteri; Cypriniformes; Cyprinidae. The record is from RefSeq and is a predicted model, not a curated record. The transcript has 2 exons.